Molecule: long non-coding RNA, 2880 nt
Organism: Bombyx mori (domestic silkworm)
Lineage: Eukaryota; Metazoa; Arthropoda; Insecta; Lepidoptera; Bombycidae
Exons: 2
Source: RefSeq, a predicted model, not a curated record
GGGCGGGGGGCGCACGCUGGCGCGGCUGCGGGGCGCGCGGGGGGUGCUGCUGGCGGCGGCGGCGGCGCUGCUGGGCGUCUACGUGUACUACCGCCCCGACCUGUUCUUCAACAGGGAAAUUGACUACGUUUAGCCGAAUAUGUAUAUUUAGUGAGCGGAACCGCUUGAAUAACUUCACUAAGACUUUAAACAUUCAGAUGCCUUAUAUAUCGUGUAGUGUAGAUGAUGUAGCGAACUUUGGUAAUUGUAAGCAAAAUAUGUAAUACUAUGCGUGUUUAUAUAACGUUAUUUCCAAAGCUAACCCCCUUUUAAAGAUAAAAUAAAACUAUUUAAUUUAUUUAUUUAUUAUAAGCUUAUUAGGAAAUAUAUAUAUAGUUAGUACGAUUUAAAAGAAUUCUGUUUAAAAAAAAAUUGGUUAAUUAAUUAAAAUUAAGACGAGAAAAUCUCUAUUUGAUUUCUGUUAAAUGAACAAGCAAUAUGUUUUAACUUUACACAAGUAACUUAUUUUAGUAUAUAAGCUUAUCGAUUAAAUAUAAAUCGAUUUCAUAUAAUCGAUUACUUCCUUAUUAAAAUAAAUAUUAUUUUUGUAAGCCAAAUUUUAGGAAGAACUUAGAAAGUGAUUUCGUCUCAACGUCAGACGGUUCUAUCGAUUAGAUAUAAAUCGAUGUCGGAUAAUCAUUAACUUUCUGAUUAUAUAUAAUGUAAAUUUAUGUUAUUAUUUGUAAGUUAACUUUUAGGAAAUACUUAGAAAUGUAUUUCGCUUCAAUGAGAGACUAUUCUAUGAAUUAAAUUGAUCUAUCGCUGUGAUUGCUUUAGGAUUAAAAUUCAAUUAAAUUUUUACCAUAAAAGAAAACACAAUUCAUGUAAUAAACUAAAUACCGUCAGCUGUUUUCACAUGUAUGUUCACGAGCGUUCACAGCUGCUAACCUAUUGGCAUUCUUCAUGGCAAUAUAUUUAUGUGAAGCAUGCUGUCGAUAGGUGUACUCGUGUAAUCGUUAUAUGGCAAUAAAAAAAUAUAAUAAAUGUUUAAUCUAUGAUUAAGAAAAGGUUAGAAAAGUUCGAAUCUAUUUUUGGCAAAAAUCGCUUUCACGUCGACCACGGGAGAACAAUCGGUUGUUAUUUUAGCCUGUCUCCCGUAGCUGGCUGGCUGUAUUGGUUGUCCUAAAUGCGACAUCGAUAUUAAUUUAUUUGCAUAAAAAAUCGAUUAUUUUUUUGUAAAAUGUGAUAUUUCAUACAUCGUAAUUUGACUUUUAGAUUAAGUAUAGGUUCGUUCUUUUGUCGUUAGAGCGUAUUGUUGAGUUGCCUUUAGCAUUUAUUACGUGUACUGCAAGCGUCGUUUGCAUGUCGAUGUCACUCCGAGAUAGUUUGAAUGCGUAUAGGAAGAUUAUAUUUAGUUCGGAAUUAGUUCCAAUAACAAUUUGUAUGGAAGAAAUCAUGACUCUCGUGUUUAAACUUAUAUCACUUAACCCAAAUUCAUUCGAGUCGAAAUGCAGUAGGUUCGAGUCUCACAUGUCCACGACGCGUCCCACACAUGGGCUGAUAAUGCUGCGGUUCAAGGCCAUAUAACAUUAAAUUUAGGCCUGAAAUUUAAACAGACUUUUAAUGACAUUUCAUUAUUUCCGCGAUCGUGAUCUUUAUUCAUGCAUCUUUUGUUUGAAUACAAAAAAUCUUUUGAAUAAUUUGCGUAAUAAUAAUUUUUUUUUUAUUGUAAUACUUGAUAUAUUUAUUAUAAAAAAAAAACAAUAAUGUAUGUUUUGUGGACACUAAUGUUUUUUUUAUGAAGUAUAUUAGUAUUAAUUCCUGGUAACGUGUUUUUCACAUUUGAAAUUUACAAAUUAUAUAUUCAUCAAGCUCACAUACAUUUUUAAAUUGGUGUACUUUCCAUAUCGACGCUUGAAAGGCAAACGCGACUAAGCGACAAUAACUGCUUUGUACAUAAAUGAUAGGCAAUAACCAUAUUCGAUGCGCAAAAAAAAAAAAAUAUUUCUAGAUCUAUUAAAAUCAUUUGAAUCCUACAGCUAGAUUCGUUAAAAUAAAUUUUGUUUUCAGAUAUUUCAACUUUAAAUUAGUCUACUGUAAAGUUCACGCAUUGUCGCUUAGUCACGUUUGCCUUUCAAGCAUCGAUAUAUAUUUUCCAGAAAGAAAGAAGUUUAUACGUACUAUUUUUUAGUAUGUUUGUGUGAAUAUUUUUAAUAGGAACAAGAUUAGUUUGAGAUCGAAAAGUACUUAAAGGUACAGUUGUUUCCAAACGUGUGUGUAUAUUCUUCAGGAUAAAUCGUGUGUUAUAACAAAAUUGAACUCUAUAAAUAAUAUGUUAAGUUCCGAAACGGUAAUAGCUAUGUCGCGGUCGUAUUCAAUUGUUGGGGAUCAAUGAAAUUACGUGAUUGAUGGUACCAUCCAUACGGAAGUCAGUAAAAAAAGUCCAUCAGCUUUUUAUCUGAAGCACUAAAAUAAAUGUGCUUUAACGAAAUUAAUUGCGGUAGGCAGCGGCUUGGCUCUGCCCUUGGCAUUGCUGAAGUCCAUGGGCGACGGUAACCACUCACCAUCAGGUGGGCCGUAUGCUCGUCUGCCUACAAAGGCAAUAAAUAAAAAUUAAAAAAUAAUAAUAAUAACGGUUUGUUUGUAUAUUAUGUUAUUAUAAAGUUUGUACAAACCGAAGAGAUACAAAGCUACUUUUUGUGAUGUCUAGAUCUUUGUAUAUGGUACGUUAAUAGUUAAGAUGUAUAUUAUGUAAAGUAUUAUGUAGUAUAUAAGCUUUAUAUAGGAAUGUAUUUAUGCAGUUUUGUAUUGUAUGUAAAAAAAUUCAAUUGCGAAUAGGCUUAACUAAUAAAAGAUGAAUGAUUUGUGAAAAAGUGGUUCAAAAUACAUGGUUAUUAUGAA